AACGCUAGCUACAGGCUUAACACAUGCAAGUCGAGGGGCAUCAGGAAGAAAGCUUGCUUUCUUUGCUGGCGACCGGCGCACGGGUGAGUAACACGUAUCCAACCUGCCGAUGACUCGGGGAUAGCCUUUCGAGAGAAAGAUUAAUACCCGAUGGUAUAUCUGAAAGGCAUCUUUCAGCUAUUAAAGAAUUUCGGUCAUUGAUGGGGAUGCGUUCCAUUAGGUUGUUGGCGGGGUAACGGCCCACCAAGCCAUCGAUGGAUAGGGGUUCUGAGAGGAAGGUCCCCCACAUUGGAACUGAGACACGGUCCAAACUCCUACGGGAGGCAGCAGUGAGGAAUAUUGGUCAAUGGACGAGAGUCUGAACCAGCCAAGUAGCGUGAAGGAUGACUGCCCUAUGGGUUGUAAACUUCUUUUAUACGGGAAUAAAGUUAGGCACGUGUGCCUUUUUGUAUGUACCGUAUGAAUAAGGAUCGGCUAACUCCGUGCCAGCAGCCGCGGUAAUACGGAGGAUCCGAGCGUUAUCCGGAUUUAUUGGGUUUAAAGGGGGCGUAGGCGGAUGCUUAAGUCAGUUGUGAAAGUUUGCGGCUCAACCGUAAAAUUGCAGUUGAUACUGGGUGUCUUGAGUACAGUAGAGGCAGGCGGAAUUCGUGGUGUAGCGGUGAAAUGCUUAGAUAUCACGAAGAACUCCGAUUG
RNAcentral lists this ribosomal RNA (693 nucleotides) under uncultured bacterium. Its description in RNAcentral is "bacterial SSU rRNA". It matches the Rfam family "Bacterial small subunit ribosomal RNA", at positions 32 to 715 of the family's 1533-position model. The record is from RNAcentral.